This 2369-nucleotide ribosomal RNA is filed under the name Klebsiella michiganensis. RNAcentral describes it as "partial 23S ribosomal RNA". It matches the Rfam family "Bacterial large subunit ribosomal RNA", at positions 591 to 2925 of the family's 2925-position model. The record is from RNAcentral. Lineage: Bacteria; Pseudomonadati; Pseudomonadota; Gammaproteobacteria; Enterobacterales; Enterobacteriaceae.
GGGUGACUGCGUACCUUUUGUAUAAUGGGUCAGCGACUUAUAUUCUGUAGCAAGGUUAACCGUAUAGGGGAGCCGCAGGGAAACCGAGUCUUAACUGGGCGUUAAGUUGCAGGGUAUAGACCCGAAACCCGGUGAUCUAGCCAUGGGCAGGUUGAAGGUUGGGUAACACUAACUGGAGGACCGAACCGACUAAUGUUGAAAAAUUAGCGGAUGACUUGUGGCUGGGGGUGAAAGGCCAAUCAAACCGGGAGAUAGCUGGUUCUCCCCGAAAGCUAUUUAGGUAGCGCCUCGUGAACUCAUCUUCGGGGGUAGAGCACUGUUUCGGCUAGGGGGUCAUCCCGACUUACCAACCCGAUGCAAACUACGAAUACCGAAGAAUGUUAUCACGGGAGACACACGGCGGGUGCUAACGUCCGUCGUGAAGAGGGAAACAACCCAGACCGCCAGCUAAGGUCCCAAAGUCAUGGUUAAGUGGGAAACGAUGUGGGAAGGCCCAGACAGCCAGGAUGUUGGCUUAGAAGCAGCCAUCAUUUAAAGAAAGCGUAAUAGCUCACUGGUCGAGUCGGCCUGCGCGGAAGAUGUAACGGGGCUAAACCAUGCACCGAAGCUGCGGCAGCGACACUAUGUGUUGUUGGGUAGGGGAGCGUUCUGUAAGCCGUUGAAGGUGGCCUGUGAGGGUUGCUGGAGGUAUCAGAAGUGCGAAUGCUGACAUAAGUAACGAUAAUGCGGGUGAAAAACCCGCACGCCGGAAGACCAAGGGUUCCUGUCCAACGUUAAUCGGGGCAGGGUGAGUCGACCCCUAAGGCGAGGCCGAAAGGCGUAGUCGAUGGGAAACAGGUUAAUAUUCCUGUACUCGGUGUUACUGCGAAGGGGGGACGGAGAAGGCUAUGUUGGCCGGGCGACGGUUGUCCCGGUUUAAGCAUGUAGGCGGAUGUUCCAGGUAAAUCCGGAACGUCACUAACGCUGAGGUGUGAUGACGAGGCACUACGGUGCUGAAGUGACAAAUGCCCUGCUUCCAGGAAAAGCCUCUAAGCAUCAGGUAACAUCAAAUCGUACCCCAAACCGACACAGGUGGUCAGGUAGAGAAUACCAAGGCGCUUGAGAGAACUCGGGUGAAGGAACUAGGCAAAAUGGUGCCGUAACUUCGGGAGAAGGCACGCUGAUGGUAAGUGAAGCGACUUGCUCGUGGAGCUGAAAUCAGUCGAAGAUACCAGCUGGCUGCAACUGUUUAUUAAAAACACAGCACUGUGCAAACACGAAAGUGGACGUAUACGGUGUGACGCCUGCCCGGUGCCGGAAGGUUAAUUGAUGGGGUUAUCCGUAAGGAGAAGCUCUUGAUCGAAGCCCCGGUAAACGGCGGCCGUAACUAUAACGGUCCUAAGGUAGCGAAAUUCCUUGUCGGGUAAGUUCCGACCUGCACGAAUGGCGUAAUGAUGGCCAGGCUGUCUCCACCCGAGACUCAGUGAAAUUGAACUCGCUGUGAAGAUGCAGUGUACCCGCGGCAAGACGGAAAGACCCCGUGAACCUUUACUAUAGCUUGACACUGAACACUGGUCCUUGAUGUGUAGGAUAGGUGGGAGGCUUUGAAGUGUGGACGCCAGUCUGCAUGGAGCCAUCCUUGAAAUACCACCCUUUAAUGGCUGGUGUUCUAACGUGGGCCCCUAAUCGGGGUUGCGGACAGUGUCUGGUGGGUAGUUUGACUGGGGCGGUCUCCUCCUAAAGAGUAACGGAGGAGCACGAAGGUCAGCUAAUCCUGGUCGGACAUCAGGAGGUUAGUGCAAUGGCAUAAGCUGGCUUGACUGCGAGCGUGACGGCGCGAGCAGGUGCGAAAGCAGGUCAUAGUGAUCCGGUGGUUCUGAAUGGAAGGGCCAUCGCUCAACGGAUAAAAGGUACUCCGGGGAUAACAGGCUGAUACCGCCCAAGAGUUCAUAUCGACGGCGGUGUUUGGCACCUCGAUGUCGGCUCAUCACAUCCUGGGGCUGAAGUAGGUCCCAAGGGUAUGGCUGUUCGCCAUUUAAAGUGGUACGCGAGCUGGGUUUAGAACGUCGUGAGACAGUUCGGUCCCUAUCUGCCGUGGGCGCUGGAGAAUUGAGGGGGGCUGCUCCUAGUACGAGAGGACCGGAGUGGACGCAUCACUGGUGUUCGGGUUGUCAUGCCAAUGGCAUUGCCCGGUAGCUAAAUGCGGAAGAGAUAAGUGCUGAAAGCAUCUAAGCACGAAACUUGCCCCGAGAUGAGUUCUCCCUGACCCUUUAAGGGUCCUGAAGGAACGUUGAAGACGACGACGUUGAUAGGCCGGGUGUGUAAGCGCAGCGAUGCGUUGAGCUAACCGGUACUAAUGAACCGUGAGGCUUAACCUUACAACGCCGAAG